Molecule: long non-coding RNA, 267 nt
Filed under: Nicotiana benthamiana
Lineage: Eukaryota; Viridiplantae; Streptophyta; Magnoliopsida; Solanales; Solanaceae
Description: long non-coding RNA (NBEN_LNC013508)
Source: RNAcentral
UGAUAUUGAAAAGUAAGUUCUUAUUAGAUGUCAUGUGAUAAGAAGCUCCUGAAUCUAUUAUCCAGGAGACAGAAGCAAUAUGAGUAAGUAGGCAGAGUUUGGAAUCAGAAACAGGACUCUCAGUAAGCAUAGUACCAGCAAAGUUGGCAGCACACAUAGUAGGAGAGGUCUGAGCAGGAGAAGUCUGAGCAGUGGAGUCACCCAAUUUGGACUGUUGCAGACGAUUCAUCAAUUGAUCAUAAUGUUGCCUGCUCAAUCCAGGAAUUA